GGCGGCGUAGCUCAGUUGGCAGAGCAAGGGACUCAUAAGCCCUGGGUCAGUGGUUCGAUUCCACUCGCCGCCA
RNAcentral lists this transfer RNA (73 nucleotides) under Candidatus Omnitrophota bacterium. Its description in RNAcentral is "tRNA-Met". It matches the Rfam family "tRNA". From Rfam's summary of the family: Transfer RNA (tRNA) molecules are approximately 80 nucleotides in length. Their secondary structure includes four short double-helical elements and three loops (D, anti-codon, and T loops). The record is from RNAcentral. Lineage: Bacteria; Pseudomonadati; Candidatus Omnitrophota.